AGAACGAACGCUGGCGGCAUGCCUAAUACAUGCAAGUCGAACGAACACUUCGGUGUUAGUGGCGCACGGGUGCGUAACGCGUGGGAAUCUGCCCUUGGGUUCGGAAUAACAGUUGGAAACGACUGCUAAUACCGGAUGAUAUCGAAAGAUCAAAGAUUUAUCGCCCAGGGAUGAGCCCGCGUAGGAUUAGCUAGUUGGUGAGGUAAAGGCUCACCAAGGCGACGAUCCUUAGCUGGUCUGAGAGGAUGAUCAGCCACACUGGGACUGAGACACGGCCCAGACUCCUACGGGAGGCAGCAGUAGGGAAUAUUGGACAAUGGGCGCAAGCCUGGAUCCAGCAAUGCCGCGUGAGUGAUGAAGGCGUUAGGGUUAGUAAAGCUACUUUUACCCGAGAUGAUAAUGACAGUAGUCGGAGAGUAACGCCCCGCUAACGUCCGUGCCGAGCAGCCGC
This 451-nucleotide ribosomal RNA is filed under the name uncultured soil bacterium. RNAcentral describes it as "bacterial SSU rRNA". It matches the Rfam family "Bacterial small subunit ribosomal RNA", at positions 26 to 518 of the family's 1533-position model. The record is from RNAcentral.